GGCGAGGUAGCUCAGUUGGUUAGAGCGCAGGAUUCAUAACCCUGAGGUCACGGGUUCAACUCCCGUUCUCGCUA
Molecule: transfer RNA, 74 nt
Filed under: Bacteroidota bacterium
Lineage: Bacteria; Pseudomonadati; Bacteroidota
Also listed under: 2 other names
Description: Bacteroidetes bacterium tRNA-Met
Rfam family: tRNA
About the family: Transfer RNA (tRNA) molecules are approximately 80 nucleotides in length. Their secondary structure includes four short double-helical elements and three loops (D, anti-codon, and T loops).
Source: RNAcentral